RNAcentral lists this long non-coding RNA (331 nucleotides) under Cricetulus griseus (Chinese hamster). RNAcentral's name for it is "lncRNA (ENSCGRG00015033023.1)". The record is from RNAcentral. Lineage: Eukaryota; Metazoa; Chordata; Mammalia; Rodentia; Cricetidae.
CUUAGUCCCGGGUCUGAGCAACUUCCAAGCCUGUGAAUAGCGUUGGGCUUCUCUCCAGAAGGUCACGGGCAGACUCUGCUGCAAGGGACAGAUAGACAACACUCUGAUCUGGAAGCCCACAGACAUGAAGCUGACGGUUUUUAUUAUUUAGAACAAUUAAGAACUCCAUUUACAAAGGCUGGAGAGAUGGAUCAGAGGUUAAGAGCACUGACUGCUCUUCCAGAGGUCCUGAGUUCAAUUCCCAGCAACCACAUGGUGGCUCACAACCGUCCGUUAUGAGAUCUGGUGCCCUCUUCUGGUGUGCAGAUAUACAUGGAAGCAGAAUGUUGUG